CUGAAUAACUGAGCAGAUCGCUUCGGUCUUUGCACCGGCGACGUAUCUUUCAAGUGUCUGUUUUAUCAACUUUCGAUGUUAGUUUAUGUGACUAACAUGGUUGUCACGGAUAACGGAGAAUAAGGGUUCGACUCCGGAGAGGGAGCCUGAGAAACGGCUACCACUUCUAAGGAAGGCAGCAGGCGCGCAACUUACCCAAUCUCAGUACGAGGAGGUAGUGACGAAAAAUAACGAGACGAGGCUCUUUGAGUUUCGUCAUCGGAAUGAGAACAAUCUAAAUCCUUUAACGAGGACCUAGCGGAGGGCAAGUCUGGUGCCAGCAGCCGCGGUAAUUCCAGCUCCGCCAGUGUAUAUCUAUGCUGCUGCGGUUAAAAAG
Molecule: ribosomal RNA, 376 nt
Filed under: Nematoda sp.
Lineage: Eukaryota; Metazoa; Nematoda
Description: SSU rRNA
Rfam family: Eukaryotic small subunit ribosomal RNA
Source: RNAcentral